UNUCUACAGCAGGGUGAUCUACCACUAGC
Molecule: non-coding RNA, 29 nt
Filed under: Homo sapiens (human)
Lineage: Eukaryota; Metazoa; Chordata; Mammalia; Primates; Hominidae
Source: RNAcentral